GCCUUCGUGGUGUGACUGAAAGCACACUCGACUCAUAUUCGGGAGGUCCAGAGUUCGAAUCCCAGUGAGGGCA
RNAcentral lists this transfer RNA (73 nucleotides) under Stegodyphus mimosarum. It matches the Rfam family "tRNA". From Rfam's summary of the family: Transfer RNA (tRNA) molecules are approximately 80 nucleotides in length. Their secondary structure includes four short double-helical elements and three loops (D, anti-codon, and T loops). The record is from Rfam by way of RNAcentral. Lineage: Eukaryota; Metazoa; Arthropoda; Arachnida; Araneae; Eresidae.